GUUCAUUGCCCUUCAGCAACUGCCGACUAAGGGAGACAAAUCAGAUAUCUUCACACGAUUUCAUUAAGGCUUAGUGCUAACAAGAAUGCAUAGUUUUUGUGAUUUAAGAUAAUAAAUUAGCGUGUGUGUUUCCCACAUCGACUCGACAUUUUUCCACGUAAUACAGAAAGGUCUGGUUCUUUUUAUGAACUGGGUGCCUGCAUUGCCAUCUUUCCUUUGUAUUUUAGAAGUAAACUAAAUUCAUCUGUGAGCCUCUAGUGCAGCAUUCAUUUAAAAAUAUCUCUUUUUUUCCAUUGAUAAUUUUCUUUGGAUUCAAAGGUCAGAGUUUAUUGUCUGUCCCACUGACACCAUGUGCACAAGAACCGCCGCUUGCUCUUCACCAGCCCUCACUCAGCAAACAUCGGUCAGUUUACCUUCUCAGUGUCAGAGCCUGAGUGAGAUGCUGAGAAACUACUCAACAGGGAUGAUUGUCGUUUUGUGUUUUUCAUUCGUAAGCAGCCUCAGUGAACUGACUCACUCUUCUACGUAGAGAGAAACACGCAAAAUGCAUUUGGUUCUCAUUUCUCUUACUAGCGUUUCCUUAUAAAAACACAAUUUAUAAGCUCCUGCCAUUUGGAACUUCUUAUAAGAAACUCAAAAUGAUCUAUUUUUAUUUAAAUGUUCUCUUCACCUCCUCUCUCUUUGUGAAAAUAAGUAGUUUCAGUAACACAUGCUGUUCUUUCCAUAGCUUACAUCUCCCUGUCUUGAAAAAAAAGAUCUCUGCAGUUUGUGAUGAGGGUUUUUAUCCUGACUUCGAUAUAUGUUAACAUUUUGGGGAUUGAGUAUUCUAGACAUGUCUUAGAAUGCUUUCAUUUUCAUCGUUCUUAUGUAUUUUAAGUUGUAUGACCCGUUUUGACGUGGAAUGCAUUUAAAAAGUUGGUGUAGGAGAGGACUCUUUACCAUGGUAUGUGUUGGUUAUCUGAUAUGUAAUAAAUGCAUGGUUUCGUGGCUGAUUUUCCACCUCCCAAAGGGAAGGGGGUGGGUUUCCUUAGUGUCCAGAUCAAAGGAGCCAUUCAUAGCAUGUUCUCACAUGUUCCAUGUCAGCCUGAUGAAACCUGCCCUGCCGAGGCGUGAACUUUCCGUACUAGCCGUCUCCGUGUUAUGUUCAAUAAAUUCUGUGCUCUGAAUG
Molecule: long non-coding RNA, 1168 nt
Filed under: Bos taurus (domestic cattle)
Lineage: Eukaryota; Metazoa; Chordata; Mammalia; Artiodactyla; Bovidae
Description: long non-coding RNA NONBTAT005562
Source: RNAcentral